UCAGAUGGCCGGGCGGUCGCGGAACCUUUGCGGGUUUCGAGGAAAGUCCGGGCUCCACGGUAACAGGACGGCGGGUAACGCCCGCCAAGGGUGACCUUAGGGAUAGUGCCACAGAAAGCAAACCGCCGUUACUCAUAACGGUAAGGGUGAAAGGGUGCGGUAAGAGCGCACCGCGUUUAUGGUAACAUGAACGGCACGGUAAACCCCGUCCGGAGCAAAACCAAAUAGGGACGGCGCGUAAGGCUUCGGCUUUACAGGGUGUUACUUCCCCAGCACGUCCGGGUCGGUUGCUUGAGCGGCUCAGCAAUGAGCCGCCCAGAGGAAUGAUCGCCACGCGGCAACGCGUACAGAACCCGGCUUACAGGCCAUCUGAUAUU
This 377-nucleotide RNase P RNA is filed under the name Asticcacaulis sp. SL142. RNAcentral's name for it is "RNase P RNA component class A". It matches the Rfam family "Bacterial RNase P class A". From Rfam's summary of the family: Ribonuclease P (RNase P) is a ubiquitous endoribonuclease, found in archaea, bacteria and eukarya as well as chloroplasts and mitochondria. Its best characterised activity is the generation of mature 5'-ends of tRNAs by cleaving the 5'-leader elements of precursor-tRNAs. Lineage: Bacteria; Pseudomonadati; Pseudomonadota; Alphaproteobacteria; Caulobacterales; Caulobacteraceae. The record is from RNAcentral.